Molecule: ribosomal RNA, 743 nt
Filed under: uncultured bacterium
Lineage: Bacteria
Description: bacterial SSU rRNA
Rfam family: Bacterial small subunit ribosomal RNA
Source: RNAcentral
AGAGUUUGAUCAUGGCUCAGAACGAACGCUGGCGGCAGGCUUAACACAUGCAAGUCGAACGCAUCCUUCGGGGUGAGUGGCAGACGGGUGAGUAACGCGUGGGAACGUGCCCUUCAGUUCGGAAUAACCCAGGGAAACUUGGGCUAAUACCGGAUACGUGCGAGAGCAGAAAGAUUUAUCGCUGAAGGAUCGGCCCGCGUCUGAUUAGCUAGUUGGUGAGGUAAUGGCUCACCAAGGCGACGAUCAGUAGCUGGUCUGAGAGGAUGAUCAGCCACAUUGGGACUGAGACACGGCCCAAACUCCUACGGGAGGCAGCAGUGGGGAAUAUUGGACAAUGGGCGCAAGCCUGAUCCAGCCAUGCCGCGUGAGUGAUGAAGGCCUUAGGGUUGUAAAGCUCUUUCGUCCGGGACGAUAAUGACGGUACCGGAAGAAGAAGCCCCGGCUAACUUCGUGCCAGCAGCCGCGGUAAUACGAAGGGGGCUAGCGUUGUUCGGAAUCACUGGGCGUAAAAGGGCGCGUAGGCGGCUUGAUAAGUCGGGGGUGAAAGCCUGUGGCUCAACCACAGAAUUGCCUUCGAUACUGUCUGGCUUGAGACCGGAAGAGGUAAGUGGAACUGCGAGUGUAGAGGUGAAAUUCGUAGAUAUUCGCAAGAACACCAGUGGCGAAGGCGGCUUACUGGUCCGGUUCUGACGCUGAGGCGCGAAAGCGUGGGGAGCAAACAGGAUUAGAUACCCUAGUAGUCC